This 497-nucleotide ribosomal RNA is filed under the name uncultured bacterium. RNAcentral's name for it is "partial 16S ribosomal RNA". It matches the Rfam family "Bacterial small subunit ribosomal RNA", at positions 28 to 507 of the family's 1533-position model. The record is from RNAcentral.
GAUGAACGCUGGCGGCGUGCCUAAUACAUGCAAGUCGAGCGAACAGACGAGGAGUUUGUUCCUUUGACGUUAGCGGCGGACGGGAGAGUAACACGUGGAUAAUCUACCUAUAAGACUGGGAUAACUUCGGGAAACCGGAGCAAAUACCGGAUAAUAUAUUGAACCGUAUGGUUCAAUAGUGAAAGACGGUUUUGCUGUCACUAAUAGAUGGAUCCCGGCCGCAUUAGCUAGUUGGUAAGGUAACGGCUUACCAAGGCAACGAUGCGUAGCCGACCUGAGAGGGUGAUCGGCCACACUGGAACGGAGACACGGUCCAGACUCCUACGGGAGGCAGCAGUAGGGAAUCUUCCGCAAUGGGCGAAAGCCUGACGGAGCAAGGCCGCGUGAGUGAUGAAGGUGUUCGGAUCGUAAAACUCUGUUAUUGGGGAAGAACAAAUGUGUAAGUAACUGUGCACGUCUUGACGGUACCUAAUCAGAAAGCCACGGCUAACUACGUG